GAUGAACGCUGGCGGCGUGCCUAAUACAUGCAAGUCGAGCGAACAGACGAGGAGCUUGCUCCUCUGACGUUAGCGGCGGACGGGUGAGUAACACGUGGAUAACCUACCUAUAAGACUGGGAUAACUUCGGGAAACCGGAGCUAAUACCGGAUAAUAUAUUGAACCGCAUGGUUCAAUAGUGAAAGGCGGUUUUGCUGUCACUUAUAGAUGGAUCCGCGCCGCAUUAGCUAGUUGGUAAGGUAACGGCUUACCAAGGCAACGAUGCGUAGCCGACCUGAGAGGGUGAUCGGCCACACUGGAACUGAGACACGGUCCAGACUCCUACGGGAGGCAGCAGUAGGGAAUCUUCCGCAAUGGGCGAAAGCCUGACGGAGCAGCGCCGCGUGAGUGAUGAAGGUCUUCGGAUCGUAAAACUCUGUUAUUAGGGAAGAACAAAUGUGUAAGUAACUAUGCACGUCUUGACGGUACCUAAUCAGAAAGCCACGGCUAACUACGUG
Molecule: ribosomal RNA, 497 nt
Filed under: uncultured bacterium
Lineage: Bacteria
Description: partial 16S ribosomal RNA
Rfam family: Bacterial small subunit ribosomal RNA
Source: RNAcentral